RNAcentral lists this transfer RNA (84 nucleotides) under Gemmatimonas sp. SM23_52. Its description in RNAcentral is "tRNA-Leu". It matches the Rfam family "tRNA". From Rfam's summary of the family: Transfer RNA (tRNA) molecules are approximately 80 nucleotides in length. Their secondary structure includes four short double-helical elements and three loops (D, anti-codon, and T loops). The record is from RNAcentral. Lineage: Bacteria; Pseudomonadati; Gemmatimonadota; Gemmatimonadia; Gemmatimonadales; Gemmatimonadaceae.
GCCCACGUGCUGGAAUUGGUAGACAGGCCAGCUUGAGGGGCUGGUGUCCUUCGGGGCGUGCAGGUUCGAGUCCUGUCGUGGGCA